GGAUGAACGCUAGCUACAGGCUUAACACAUGCAAGUCGAGGGGCAGCAUGGUCUUAGCUUGCUAAGGCUGAUGGCGACCGGCGCACGGGUGAGUAACACGUAUCCAACCUGCCCUUUACUCGGGGAUAGCCUUUCGAAAGAAAGAUUAAUACCCGAUAGCAUAAUGAUUCCGCAUGGUUUCAUUAUUAAAGGAUUCCGGUAAAGGAUGGGGAUGCGUUCCAUUAGGUUGUUGGUGGGGUAACGGCCCACCAAGCCUUCGAUGGAUAGGGGUUCUGAGAGGAAGGUCCCCCACAUUGGAACUGAGACACGGUCCAAACUCCUACGGGAGGCAGCAGUGAGGAAUAUUGGUCAAUGGGCGCUAGCCUGAACCAGCCAAGUAGCGUGAAGGAUGAAGGCUCUAUGGGUCGUAAACUUCUUUUAUAUAAGAAUAAAGUGCAGUAUGUAUACUGUUUUGUAUGUAUUAUAUGAAUAAGGAUCGGCUAACUCCGUGCCAGCAGCCGCGGUAAUACGGAGGAUCCGAGCGUUAUCCGGAUUUAUUGGGUUUAAAGGGAGCGUAGGUGGACUGGUAAGUCAGUUGUGAAAGUUUGCGGCUCAACCGUAAAAUUGCAGUUGAUACUGUCAGUCUUGAGUACAGUAGAGGUGGGCGGAAUUCGUGGUGUAGCGGUGAAAUGCUUAGAUGUCACGAAGAACUCCGAUUGCGAAGGCAGCUCACUGGACUGCAACUGACACUGAUGCUCGAAAGUGUGGGUAUCAAACAGGAUUAGAUACCCUGGUAGUCCACACAGUAAACGAUGAAUACUCGCUGUUUGCGAUAUACAGUAAGCGGCCAAGCGAAAGCAUUAAGUAUUCCACCUGGGGAGUACGCCGGCAACGGUGAAACUCAAAGGAAUUGACGGGGGCCCGCACAAGCGGAGGAACAUGUGGUUUAAUUCGAUGAUACGCGAGGAACCUUACCCGGGCUUAAAUUGCAGUGGAAUGAUGUGGAAACAUGUCAGUGAGCAAUCACCGCUGUGAAGGUGCUGCAUGGUUGUCGUCAGCUCGUGCCGUGAGGUGUCGGCUUAAGUGCCAUAACGAGCGCAACCCUUAUCUUUAGUUACUAACAGGUCAUGCUGAGGACUCUAGAGAGACUGCCGUCGUAAGAUGUGAGGAAGGUGGGGAUGACGUCAAAUCAGCACGGCCCUUACGUCCGGGGCUACACACGUGUUACAAUGGGGGGUACAGAAGGCAGCUAGCGGGUGACCGUAUGCUAAUCCCAAAAUCCUCUCUCAGUUCGGAUCGAAGUCUGCAACCCGACUUCGUGAAGCUGGAUUCGCUAGUAAUCGCGCAUCAGCCACGGCGCGGUGAAUACGUUCCCGGGCCUUGUACACACCGCCCGUCAAGCCAUGGGAGCCGGGGGUACCUGAAGUGCGUAACCGCGAGGAUCGCCCUAGGGUAAAAC
RNAcentral lists this ribosomal RNA (1438 nucleotides) under uncultured organism. RNAcentral's name for it is "16S ribosomal RNA". It matches the Rfam family "Bacterial small subunit ribosomal RNA". The record is from RNAcentral.